Rhea pennata is the source of this 2023-nucleotide long non-coding RNA. RefSeq lists it as uncharacterized. NCBI's taxonomy places the organism in Eukaryota, Metazoa, Chordata, Aves, Rheiformes, Rheidae. The transcript has 3 exons. The record is from RefSeq and is a predicted model, not a curated record.
CCCUGGGGAGAGGAGACACAGAAGCAUGGAUGAUACCAGCUGCUGCACCCAGCUGAGACAACGGAACAGCCCCAAAGGUCGGUCCAAGGUUACGUUUAUCUGGAUCACGUUAACGGCCUGCAGUGUCUCAGUUCGAGGAAUAUCACAUAACCAGCCAACUUGCAUCUAGGAGAAUACGGAUGUAAGAGACCUGGUCUAAGGGUUGCCCCAGGCUUCAAGCUAUGGUUAGGAACAUCCAGCCUAGUUAUAAUAAUUCAUUUGCAAGCAAUGCUUUUUACCAUGUAACGUCUCUUCUCAGCUUCUUGAAUGUAAUUGCAUUAUCUUGGUGACUGACGGCCUGCAUGGAUGGAUGAAAUUGGAAUUUAAUCUGCAUCGGCCAUCUCUCUUGAUUUCUCCUUCAUUUCUAUUUCUUUUUAAAAUGGAAGUUUCAUUAAAACAGCAACACUUUUCUAUUAAAUAUGUAACUAGAGAAGAAUGACUGCCUCUAUCUCAUCAGCAGUAAAUCUUUUUAAAAUCACUCAAGAGGCAAGACUCAAAUCAUAUAUUUAAUAAGAACCACUUUGAUAUCACUUUUUAAAGCAAUUAACAUAUUAUUAGAGAUAAGCAUGAGAUGCAACAUUUAGAUCUGGAUUCCUAAAGCAGAUUUCUAAGGUGUAGGAGGGUACGGCUCUCAAGUCUUGGCCUCACCAAGCAUCUCUGCAUGUCACAGUCUAAGGUAAGAACAGAACCUGUUACAUGGACAUGGCAGAUAAAAUUCCGGCUUUUACUCCUGAUUUUAUUAGCACUGGUUCUCUUCAGUCAUUUUAAAGCCUUCUGGGUAUGCCAGUGAAAAUGGGCAAGCCACCUCACGAGAGUUUGUGUACCAACUGAGGGUCCUGGAACAAACUUCAUUUCCAUCAUCCCCUUCCAGCUGGGUGCUCAGACAUUUGUUUUCUUUAUGGGUUGCACAGUAAACGUAUCUCUGAACCUUACAAAUUUUUAAAAGACUUACAGUGCCUGUCACCAAUGGGAUUCCCAUAAUCAGCUUGUCUUGCAUCUCCCCCGUUACCUCAAGCAAGCUCGCAAACUCAAAUACAACGUCACCUCUGACAGGCAGCAUCAAUCCCAUGGGGAAAGUGAAGACACUCCCUGGCAGGGCAGUCCAACUCACUCCUACCAGAGGCUAUGGUUGCCAUAGCAGAGCCAUGUGGCCCUUCCUAAGUGACUUCAGCUGACAAUUCAGCAUGUUAAAUAUGUUAAAUAGAGCAAAUCCCCCUUUCCUGGUGGCUGAAGCACAUACUGUGAAUUACGGUAGUGAAGGUGCAGCCACACAUUCAUCUCUGCUGACUGUGAUGGGGACAGAAACCUCCGGCAGAUGAACCAGAUGGAAAGCUGGAGGUGGUAACACCUUCCACCAUCACAAUUAAAUCUGACAAAACCCAUCUGCUGGCACCCUCAGCACUGGUAGGACUCAACUUGGAAUUGUGAAUUAUGUCCUAGGCAACAUCCAAAGGCUUCUUGGUUGUUUAUCCAAAACGUUCAAGCUUUUCCCAGCAUCAAACAAUACGUGACUCCACUGAUGUCUGACAGCAAAUUCAUUCUUGACUACAGAGCAUUUUAUUAUUUAUACCGUUAACUGUGAAGUCUCAAAUCCCCCAGAACUUCUCGAGAGCCCACUUCAUCAGCAAAUUGCUUUUCUUAAAAGGCAGCAACAUAUGCAAGGGAAAAUACAUCAUGCAUCUAAAGACACUGUGAUCAUGUUGUUUUUUUAAGUGCUAAAAUUUAUUACACAAGAGAUGAUGCAACAGCGAAUAAGAGAGCAAAAUUCUACAUUGACUCCCUACUUUGCAAUCCAGGACAACUAAGAAGUUUUACUUCAUUAAGGUAGGCAAGAGAAAAAAAAAAUCAGAAACCACCCUGAUGAAUGAGGAAGUCCUGUCAAGCAUAAGUGAACAAUUAGUCCUAUGUGAUGCUCGUUGCUGUAGAAGGAACGAUGAAAUAUAUCUGCUUCUGUUCAAUAAAUUACUAAAACAUCAGUUAUAAA